Molecule: long non-coding RNA, 1163 nt
Filed under: Dromaius novaehollandiae (emu)
Lineage: Eukaryota; Metazoa; Chordata; Aves; Casuariiformes; Dromaiidae
Description: lncRNA (ENSDNVG00000004190.1)
Source: RNAcentral
GCACCCUGCACAAUCGGAGGUAAAGGAUAUCACAGGAAACCCAAGUCAGCUUUUCCCCUUCAUGAGGUAACUCCCUGGAACAACCAACACAGUCUUUUUCAUUUACGUACCUAACAGUAAGUAACACUUAAAUAGCAGACAAUAUGUUCAAAGCUCAAACAUUAACUGGUUUAGUGAGUUAAGAAGAGAGAUAYUGUCUGCAAUUGCUUGGGGCAGAAUGUGCUGAAGGAGCAGAAAUUUACCUUUCAACUAGGAAACUACAAAAUAGCUUCAAACAAUCCCUUUAAAAUAUGGAAACAAUCCAACAACUGCUAGCUUACUUGCAUGUGACAAUAACUCUUAGAGACUUUUGCCACAUUUCAGCCACAGAAAAUUUAAGCUAUUCUUGCAUUUAAGAAUAACCACCAUUUAAGAGCCUUUGGGAAAAUGCUACCUGAAAAAAAAAGAUUAAUAUUUCAGGUCAAUUCCAUUACAGUAGUUUUGAAGACUUCUGAACUGAAGCUGGUAUCUCAGAAGUAGAUGCUGCGGGUUCUCCUCUACAAGUAAACAUCACUCUUUCCCUUCUACCCUUUCAACUGACAAUAUUUUGCCUUGUGUAAAGUACCUACACAUCUCCUCAACCUGCCUUCCAGAUACAAUAGCAGAGUUGAAAAGGAAAAGCUAGCAUGCAGAAAAGAGAAAGAGCAAGGCCAAGACUAAACACAAAACUGACAGCAGAAUUACAGAAAAAAAAAAGUCUUCCAUCUUCCAAAUCUCUCCACUUCAGUUCCUUUCAUUGUUCCUUUCCUGGAAAUAAGUUUACUGGGUUUUGCUCUCAGCAAAAAACGUGAACUCUGUGCUGACUAGAGCUACACAAAAGAACUUACUCACAAAGUGAAGAGAACGCUGGUUAGAUCUUCACGAUUUAUCUGAAGUUCCGUCACUUCCCUCCCCCCCCCGGAACCGCCGAUUGUCCCAAGAGCCUCCCCCUCCCCCGCAAUAUCCUCAGGGAAGAGCUUAGAAAACUGUGGAAAAACGCUCAGAAGAGCUUAGAAAGCUGUGGAAAACGGAACACGAGAAGCGCCCCCCCCCCAAGCAGGGUCCCCUCCGAAGAGCGCGGGGAGGGGGACGGGGACCGCUGCGGGGCCAGGAAGGAGAUCAGCCCACGCAGAAACAAAGCGCGC